Panthera uncia (snow leopard) is the source of this 1018-nucleotide long non-coding RNA. RefSeq lists it as uncharacterized. The record is from RefSeq and is a predicted model, not a curated record. The transcript has 3 exons. Lineage: Eukaryota; Metazoa; Chordata; Mammalia; Carnivora; Felidae.
CAUUUCUAGCAGUCCUCUCAAAAGAGAUGAUGGUGUUUCUGACCACGGCAUAGACCUUGGAGUACUGCAAGAAUCCAGGUUCUGGCAGUCAUGAAAUAACGAUGAACCUAAAAAUCGUCAUUAACAGAACCUUACCAGUAACCAAGUAAGUGAUAAAGUGGGUCUUACAUCACUACAGAUCAUGUGAUCUUCAGAUAUCUGAGUGAGUAUGGUUUCCCUAACAGAGUGUCACUUUGUGUUUUUUGCAAGUGCCCUGUUAGGUCCUUUCCUAGUAUACGGGUAUGAGAUUAUGUGGCGUUAACUCAAUAGAGAGCUGCUUGUUUUUCAUAUAUGCAAAUGAUGUUUUCAAUACCAUGUUAACUAUGUUUUUGGCACGUAUGCAGUUCAGAAAUUAAUUUGACCCAAAUAGUACUAGUAAGCAUGAGAUUUUAGCAUCUUCUUAUUCAGAGAUGAUGUGUUUUUAUACACCCAUAGUGGUAGAUAGGCAGAAAUCCAGGUAAUUUAUCAUACUGUCCAUCACCGCAUUAUUGACUGUGGGAUUUUUGCAGGUAUCCCUUCAAGAGAGGAAGGUGUCUCUUACUAGGGCUUAACCUCAGAUUUCUGCCGUUAUCCAGGUUCACGUGAAGACCUCCCUAUGAGCCGGUUAGUGGUAGUUAGUGGUAGUUAAUGAUGUGUGCAUAGCAGGUAUUGAGGUAAGUGAUAAUGUGGGCCUAACCCACAGUACAGAUCAUAUGACCUUCAUACAUGUAAAUAAGUGAUGAUGGUGUCCCUAACACUUGUGUUACCAUAUGUUUUUCCAGGUACCCUGUUCAGGUCUUUGAUAGUACAAAGGUAUGAGAUGAUAUAAUAUUAACUCAUCGAUGUUCUUAUUUUCAUCUAUGUAAUUGUUUUUAAGACUCCUCCUUCCCUUGUUUUUGGCAAGUAGAAGUUAAAUUAAUUUGACCCUGACCGUGGGGGACGGGAAGGGAGAAAACCUAGUUACACAGAGGGAGAGAGGCAAACUAUAAGAGACUCUUAA